RNAcentral lists this ribosomal RNA (258 nucleotides) under uncultured bacterium. RNAcentral's name for it is "partial 16S ribosomal RNA". It matches the Rfam family "Bacterial small subunit ribosomal RNA", at positions 524 to 776 of the family's 1533-position model. The record is from RNAcentral.
GACAGAGGGUGCAAACGUUGCUCGGAAUUAGCUAGGGCGUAAAGCGCGUGUAGGGUGGAUUGGUGUGUCAGAUGUGAAAAGCCCCUGGGCUCAACCCAGGAACUGCACCUGAAACUACCAGUCUUGAGUGGUGGAGAGGGAAGUGGAAUUCCUGGUGUAGAGGUGAAAUUCGUAGAUAUCAGGAGGAACACCAGUGGCGAAGGCGGCUCACUGGACCGGAACUGACGCUGAGGCGCGAAAGCGUGGGGAGCAAACAGG